Molecule: ribosomal RNA, 880 nt
Filed under: uncultured Bacillota bacterium
Lineage: Bacteria; Bacillati; Bacillota
Description: bacterial SSU rRNA
Rfam family: Bacterial small subunit ribosomal RNA
Source: RNAcentral
UGGAUCCAGACUUUGAUUAUGGCUCAGGAUAAACGCUGGCGGCGCACAUAAGACAUGCAAGUCGAACGGAGAUCGUUACAAAAAGGAUUGAAGAUUUAUCUGAUUGAUAUUUUGUAACAAUGGUCUUAGUGGCGGACUGGUGAGUAACGCGUAAGGAACCUGCCUUUUAGAGGGGAAUAACAAUGAGAAAUCAUUGCUAAUACCGCAUAUGCCAUAGGUACCACAUGGUACUAGUGGGAAAGGAGCAAUUCGCUAGAAGAUGGCCUUGCGUCUGAUUAGAUAGUUGGUAAGGUAACGGCUUACCAAGUCGACGAUCAGUAGCCGGACUGAGAGGUUGAACGGCCACAUUGGGACUGAGAUACGGCCCAGACUCCUACGGGAGGCAGCAGUCGGGAAUAUUGCGCAAUGGAGGAAACUCUGACGCAGUGACGCCGCGUAUAGGAAGAAGUUUUUCGGAAUGUAAACUAUUGUCGUUAGGGAAGAGAAAGGACAGUACCUAAGGAGGAAGCUCCGGCUAACUACGUGCCAGCAGCCGCGGUAAUACGUAGGGAGCGAGCGUUAUCCGGAAUUAUUGGGUGUAAAGGGUGCGUAGACGGGAUAGCAAGUUAGUUGUGAAAUCCCUCGGCUUAACUGAGGAACUGCAACUAAAACUAUUAUUCUUGAGUGCAGGAGAGGUAAGUGGAAUUCCUAGUGUAGCGGUGAAAUGCGUAGAUAUUAGGAGGAACACCAGUGGCGAAGGCGACUUACUGGACUGUAACUGACGUUGAGGCACGAAAGUGUGGGGAGCAAACAGGAUUAGAUACCCUGGUAGUCCACACCGUAAACGAUGGAUACUAGGUGUAGGAGAUAUUAAGUUUUCUGUGCCGUCGCAAACGCAAUA